AUUGAACGCUGGCGGCAGGCCUAACACAUGCAAGUCGAGCGGAUGAAGGGAGCUUGCUCCUGGAUUCAGCGGCGGACGGGUGAGUAAUGCCUAGGAAUCUGCCUGGUAGUGGGGGAUAACGUCCGGAAACGGGCGCUAAUACCGCAUACGUCCUGAGGGAGAAAGUGGGGGAUCUUCGAACCUCACGCUAUCAGAUGAGCCUAGGUCGGAUUAGCUAGUUGGUGGGGUAAAGGCCUACCAAGGCGACGAUCCGUAACUGGUCUGAGAGGAUGAUCAGUCACACUGGAACUGAGACACGGUCCAGACUCCUACGGGAGGCAGCAGUGGGGAAUAUUGGACAAUGGGCGAAAGCCUGAUCCAGCCAUGCCGCGUGUGUGAAGAAGGUCUUCGGAUUGUAAAGCACUUUAAGUUGGGAGGAAGGACAGUAAGUUAAUACCUUGCUGUUUUGACGUUACCAACAGAAUAAGCACCGGCUAACUUCGUG
Molecule: ribosomal RNA, 484 nt
Filed under: uncultured bacterium
Lineage: Bacteria
Description: partial 16S ribosomal RNA
Rfam family: Bacterial small subunit ribosomal RNA
Source: RNAcentral